RNAcentral lists this ribosomal RNA (497 nucleotides) under uncultured bacterium. Its description in RNAcentral is "partial 16S ribosomal RNA". It matches the Rfam family "Bacterial small subunit ribosomal RNA", at positions 28 to 507 of the family's 1533-position model. The record is from RNAcentral.
GACGAACGCUGGCGGCGUGCCUAAUACAUGCAAGUAGAACGCUGAAGAGAGGAGCUUACUCUUCUUGGAUGAGUUGCGAACGGGUGAGUAACGCGUAGGUAACCUGCCUUGUAGCGGGGGAUAACUAUUGGAAACGAUAGCUAAUACCGCAUAACAAUGGAUGACACAUGUCAUUUAUUUGAAAGGAGCAAUUGCUCCACUACAAGAUGGACCUGCGUUGUAUUAGCUAGUAGGUGAGGUAAUGGCUCACCUAGGCGACGAUACAUAGCCGACCUGAGAGGGUGAUCGGCCACACUGGGACUGAGACACGGCCCAGACUCCUACGGGAGGCAGCAGUAGGGAAUCUUCGGCAAUGGGGGCAACCCUGACCGAGCAACGCCGCGUGAGUGAAGAAGGUUUUCGGAUCGUAAAGCUCUGUUGUAAGUCAAGAACGGGUGUGAGAGUGGAAAGUUCACACUGUGACGGUAGCUUACCAGAAAGGGACGGCUAACUACGUG